Molecule: RNA transcript, 1899 nt
Organism: Xenia sp. Carnegie-2017
Lineage: Eukaryota; Metazoa; Cnidaria; Anthozoa; Malacalcyonacea; Xeniidae
Gene name: nuclear factor NF-kappa-B p105 subunit-like
Exons: 5
Source: RefSeq, a predicted model, not a curated record
UAAACAUUUUGUAUGACCGGCUAUAUUACGACAACCGUCUAACGUGAAAUUUGUCUUUGCCAGAGCAUUUAUAUGCUUUGAUUUUGUGCAGUAAAUUUUCCGAACUAUUUCAUUCCAAAGCUGCAUUUAGGUGCGACAGCUAAAAGGAAAAUUACCACCAUUAACAAUACAAGAUGAUGACAACACAAGAAAACAAGAACGGCGUUGUAAUGGGUUCACCCAAACAACCAAGAGCUGUUGAAAAAACGAAGGAAGACUAUCGUCAGUACUCUAAUGAUAGCGAUUCUAGAGUGGAUUCGGGUUUUGCAAGCAUGUCGGAAAAUGAAAGCCAACAUUCUGUCAGUUCUUGUACAGACAGUUAUUAUGACGAAACGCGAAAUCAACAAUGCGUGUCGAGCCCUAACGAUUCAAUGGAUAUGAAAAAAGUCAUAAAUAAAACUGAGGAUUUGAAGAUAGACGAAGGUUAUGAUUCAAUGACUUCGCAAAUAAAUUACUUUCAAAUGAAUGUGCAUUGUUUACAGAGUUUUGCUCGAACGCAAAACCUGCGUUUUAUGAUGGCGGCUAAUUGGCCAUAUUUACUGGUACGAAAUGGCGAUGGAGACACAUCAUUACAUGUGGCAAUUAUCAAUUGCAAUGCUGAAGUCAUUGAUGCUAUUGUGGAUGUAUUACCAAAAAGGGAAUACUUUGAUCUUUACAACAACUUAAUACAAACGCCACUUCAUUUGGCAGUGAUAACAAGACAGCAUGGAGUUGUUUCAAAACUUAUUGAUCGCGGAGCUAGUGUUGAACUUGUAGAUAGAAAUGGUCAGACAUGUAUACAUCUUGCUUGCUAUCAUGGAGACUUGAAAUCUCUGAAAGCUAUUUUUAAAUCAUGCCCAAAGAAUUUGGAUCACAAGCUGCAGUUGCAAGAGCUACUGGAAUCACGAAAUUUUGAUGGCUUGACUCCUCUUGGUGUUGCAGUAAAAGAGAAUCACAUUGAUAUUGUUAGAGAACUUAUCAAACUUGGAGCAAAUGCAAAUGCUAUGGACAGUAAAAAUGGUAAUACAGUAUUGCAUUUAGCAGCUGAAAACAACAAUCUUCCAAUGUUAUCCUGUUUAUUGUUUGAAGGCCAGGCAGACCCUAAUGCACAAUCAUUUUCUGGCUGCACCCCUUUGCACAUUGCUGCAGGAUUGAAAUUUGAGACAAUUAUAGCAACUCUUGUUGCAGUUGGGGCAAGUACAACAAUAGAAAACGAUGAAGGAGAUACCCCAUAUGAAAUAGCUAAUGAUGAUGACAUAGAUGAGGAUGAUAACUGUAUAGAUGUGGAUGAUUAGAUAUCUGAAGCUUCCAAGCCUAGUAUCAUGUAUAGAAAUGUUCAGAAAAUUUUAAUGCGAUUGAGGGUAAGGUGAGCUCAGAAAGAAAAGAAGGGAUAAAGGAUAAAAAGGGUAAGGUGAGCUCAGAAAGAAAAGAAGGGAUAAAGGAUAAAAAGGGUAAGGUGAGCUCAGAAAGAAAAGAAGGAUAAAGGAUAAAAAGGGUAGUGAGAGGGACAGACAUUUAUUGGGUAAUUUAUUGAAACAUUUUGAAAAUGAAAGAAAAGAAACUGUCGCAAAAAAUUUCAUAUGAAAAAGAAUGUGAUUAGAUUGUGCACCUUAAUAAAAUGCAAUUUAAUUUAAUUUGUCAUGUAAAGAGUUGAUUUUCUUUUGUUGUUUUCAACAUAAGGAUUUCAUUGUUCUUUUACAAACAUCACCACUUAAGUCAUAGCUUUCUAGUUUUAAAAAAGUGUAUGCACAAUCCAUUAGAACGUUCCAUGUGAGCAAAUUGAUAAUGUAAAAUGACAAAAUUGAGUGCGUAUUGUUCAUAUUUUUGAGUUGUUAUGUGGUUCCAUCAUUGUAUCACAUGAAAUUAAAAGUUUUUAUUCAA